GACGAACGCUGGCGGCGUGCUUAACACAUGCAAGUCGAACGGAAAGGCCCUGCUUUUGUGGGGUGCUCGAGUGGCGAACGGGUGAGUAACACGUGAGUAACCUGCCCUUGACUUUGGGAUAACUUCAGGAAGCUGGGGCUAAUACCGGAUAGGAGCUCCUGCUGCAUGGUGGGGGUUGGGAAGUUUCGGCGGUUGGGGAUGGACUCGCGGCUUAUCAGCUUGUUGGUGGGGUAGUGGCUUACCAAGGCUUUGACGGGUAGCCGGCCUGAGAGGGUGACCGGCCACAUUGGGACUGAGAUACGGCCCAGACUCCUACGGGAGGCAGCAGGGGGGAAUAUUGCACAAUGGGCGGAAGCCUGAUGCAGCAACGCCGCGUGCGGGAUGACGGCCUUCGGGUUGUAAACCGCUUUCGCCUGUGACGAAGCGUGAGUGACGGUAAUGGGUAAAGAAGCACCGGCUAACUACGUG
RNAcentral lists this ribosomal RNA (468 nucleotides) under uncultured bacterium. Its description in RNAcentral is "partial 16S ribosomal RNA". It matches the Rfam family "Bacterial small subunit ribosomal RNA", at positions 28 to 507 of the family's 1533-position model. The record is from RNAcentral.